UCCGCCAUUCUGAAUAUAACCGGAAGUAAGGUUUUUAAAGAGAUAUGUCAUAUACAUUGUAUCCAUGAAAAGCACAAAAGAAAGGUUCCUGCCCAAUGUAAUGAUAGUAGCAAUACAUUUAAACACAUUUCAAUUACCCUCCCUAAAAAUAAGCUUGUUCUAGUACUAUAUCAGCCAUGUUGGAUUUUACCGGAAGAAGGGUUUUUGAAG
RNAcentral lists this long non-coding RNA (210 nucleotides) under Mytilus galloprovincialis (Mediterranean mussel). Lineage: Eukaryota; Metazoa; Mollusca; Bivalvia; Mytilida; Mytilidae. The record is from RNAcentral.